Molecule: ribosomal RNA, 253 nt
Filed under: uncultured bacterium
Lineage: Bacteria
Description: partial 16S ribosomal RNA
Rfam family: Bacterial small subunit ribosomal RNA
Source: RNAcentral
UACGUAGGGUGCAAGCGUUAAUCGGAAUUACUGGGCGUAAAGCGUGCGCAGGCGGUUUUGAAAGUCUGUCGUGAAAGCCCCGGGCUCAACCUGGGAAUUGCGAUGGAGACUGCAAGGCUUGAAUCUGGCAGAGGGGGGUAGAAUUCCACGUGUAGCAGUGAAAUGCGUAGAGAUGUGGAGGAACACCGAUGGCGAAGGCAGCCCCCUGGGUCAAGAUUGACGCUCAUGCACGAAAGCGUGGGGAGCAAACAGG